UUCAGUUUAGGGUUUAAACCCUAAUGCUGACUGAAUGGAAAAAUUCAGUUUAGGGUUUAAAACCCUAAUGCUGACUGAAUGGAAAAAGUUCAGUUUAGGGUUUAAAAACCUAAUGCUGACUGAAUGGAAAAGUUCAGUUUAGGGUUUAAAACUCUAAUGCUCACUAAAUGGAAAAAGUUCAGUUUAGGGUUUAAAACCCUAGUGCUGACUGAAUGGAAAAAGUUCAGUUUAGGGUUUAAAACCCUAAUGCUGACUGAAUGGAAAAGUUCACUUUAGGGUAUAAAACCCUAAUGCUGACUAAAUGGAAAAGUUCAGUUUAGGGUUUAAAACCCUAAUACUGACUGAAUGGAAAAGUUCAGUUUAGGGUUUAAAACCCUAAUACUGACUGGCUGGAAAAGUUCAGUUUAGGGUUUAAAACCCUAAUGCUGACUGAAUGGAAAAAGUUCAGUUUAGGGUUUAAAACCUAAUACUGACUGAAUGGAAAAAUUCAGUUUAGGGUUUAAAACCCUAAUACUGACUGGCUGGAAAAGUUCAAUUUAGGGUUUAAAACCCUAAUGCUGACUAAAUGGAAAAAGUUCAGUUUAGGGUUUAAAAUCCUAAUACUGACUGGCUGGAAAAGUUCAGUUUAGGGUAUAAAACCCUAAUGCUGACUGAAUGGAAAAGUUCAGUUUAGGGUUUAAAACCCUAAUGCUGACUAAAUGGGGAAAGUUCAGUUUAAGGUUUAAAACCCUAAUGCUAACUAAAGGAAAGAGU
This 753-nucleotide long non-coding RNA is filed under the name Nicotiana tabacum (common tobacco). Its description in RNAcentral is "long non-coding RNA (NTAB_LNC001395)". Lineage: Eukaryota; Viridiplantae; Streptophyta; Magnoliopsida; Solanales; Solanaceae. The record is from RNAcentral.